Molecule: long non-coding RNA, 591 nt
Organism: Drosophila yakuba
Lineage: Eukaryota; Metazoa; Arthropoda; Insecta; Diptera; Drosophilidae
Exons: 2
Source: RefSeq, a predicted model, not a curated record
CAGGUGGAGAUUUUUGGGGGAUUUGGCGCCGGCAUUAACAUGGAACCAAUAUAAAUGGCAUGCCAAAUUGUAGUGGAUGAACAAAUUUGCCGCUUCAUAUGCGAGUGUGGCAAUAAAAACUUGUAGAGCCAAAGCCAAAUGCGAUUUGGGGGGCAUUUGUUUUAAAUUACCCUGGCGUGUAAGUGAUGAACUGGUGUGUCUUGUAACAGCAAAUUGAGCAGUCGCCAUAAAACAACAAACAAACUUAGCCGUUCUGCGGCACUACCACCAGCACGACGACCAGCAAAAGGAAAAAAGAGAGCAUUGAACUCGCCCCACCAGUGGAUUCCCCGAAAAAAUACAUGGAGCUACAUGAUGAGCCAUAAAACUAUUGCAGUUAUUUGGAGUAGAUUGCACGGGCGGCGAUACCCAGAUACUUAUGGGAUAAGGUGGAAUAAAUAUUUCCGUUGGCGGCCAAAAGGCGAUUGCGAUUCAGGCCAAAGCCCCUCUAAUGCCAACUUAUCCAGUUCCUAUCAUAAAUACCAGUUUGUGAGACCGUGGUGUUUCUGCUUUCGAACCUAAGAGCUCUGAAAAUAAAGGGGAAACGUGAGA